RNAcentral lists this unclassified non-coding RNA (357 nucleotides) under fungal sp. RNAcentral's name for it is "partial internal transcribed spacer region". The stretch from base 1 to 46 matches the Rfam family "Eukaryotic small subunit ribosomal RNA", at positions 1786 to 1831 of the family's 1831-position model. The record is from RNAcentral. Lineage: Eukaryota; Fungi.
AAGUCGUAACAAGGUUUCCGUAGGUGAACCUGCGGAAGGAUCAUUAUCAAAGUAUAAUAUCCACACCAAACGUGAACUGUUUGUCCAGUAAGUUAUUGAAAAUAAUUUUCUGGGCUCUUUUUAAUGAAUAUUUCUUUUUUUGGCUUCAAUUCUGAUGGAGGAGCUAGCUUUUGCUUUUUCUUCUUUCUGUUUUUGAUUGCUAUUUAAAAGAUUUGUUUCAUUAAAUUUUUAACCAAUUAAACCUUAUUAAUAUAACUUUUGACUGAUUUUUUCUUACCCAACCUAAAAAAUUGGGAAGAAAUUAUGUUUAUACGAAACAUAAGUACAACUCUUAGCAACGGAUAUCUCGGCUCUCAU